RNAcentral lists this unclassified non-coding RNA (258 nucleotides) under uncultured fungus. Its description in RNAcentral is "partial contains 5.8S ribosomal RNA, internal transcribed spacer 2, and large subunit ribosomal RNA". The stretch from base 1 to 52 matches the Rfam family "5.8S ribosomal RNA", at positions 103 to 154 of the family's 154-position model. Lineage: Eukaryota; Fungi. The record is from RNAcentral.
AACGCACAUUGCGCCCUUUGGUAUUCCAAAGGGCAUGCCUGUUCGAGCGUCAUUUGUACCCUCAAGCUUUGCUUGGUGUUGGGCGUCUUGUCUUUUUUUUUUAAAAAAAGACUCGCCUUAAAACGAUUGGCAGCCGGCCUCCUGGUUUCGCAGCGCAGCACAUUUUUGCGCUUGCAAUCAGCAAAAGAGGACGGCACUCCAUCAAGACUCCUUCUCACGUUUGACCUCGGAUCAGGUAGGGAUACCCGCUGAACUUAA